This 273-nucleotide ribosomal RNA is filed under the name uncultured prokaryote. RNAcentral describes it as "partial 16S ribosomal RNA". It matches the Rfam family "Bacterial small subunit ribosomal RNA", at positions 524 to 796 of the family's 1533-position model. The record is from RNAcentral.
CACGUAGGGGGCGAGCGUUGUCCGGAUUUAUUGGGCGUAAAGAGCUCGUAGGCGGCUCGGUAAGUCGGGUGUGAAAACUCAGGGCUCAACCCUGAGACGCCACUCGAUACUGCCGUGGCUAGAGUCCGGUAGGGGAGCGUGGAAUUCCUGGUGUAGCGGUGAAAUGCGCAGAUAUCAGGAGGAACACCAGCGGCGAAGGCGGCGCUCUGGGCCGGUACUGACGCUGAGGAGCGAAAGCGUGGGGAGCAAACAGGAUUAGAUCCCCAGUAGUCC